GACGAACGCUGGCGGCGUGCCUAACGCAUGCAAGUCGAGCGAGGUGUUCCCGCGAGGGGGCAUCGAGCGGCGAACGGGUGAGUAACACGUGGGUAAUCUGCCUAUGAGACGGGGAUAGCCCCGGGAAACUGGGGUUAAUACCGGAUGUGAUCCUUCAAGCGCAUGCUUGAAGGAGGAAAGGGUGCAAACCGCUCAUAGAUGAGCCCGCGGCCCAUUAGCUAGUUGGCAGGGUAAGAGCCUACCAAGGCGACGAUGGGUAGCCGGUCUGAGAGGAUGGCCGGCCACACUGGGACUGAGACACGGCCCAGACUCCUACGGGUGGCAG
Molecule: ribosomal RNA, 325 nt
Filed under: uncultured Bacillota bacterium
Lineage: Bacteria; Bacillati; Bacillota
Description: bacterial SSU rRNA
Rfam family: Bacterial small subunit ribosomal RNA
Source: RNAcentral